CCCCUCAUGUUUGCUGUAAAUUUUGAAUCAACAAAUAUAGUCCAUCUUCUUCUUCAGAAAGGUAUAGAUGUCUCUUCUUGAGAUUCCCAUGGAUGGACUGCAGAAGAAUAUGCUCUUAGUGUUUUUAAUGUCUGUCAGCAACUGAUUUCUGAUUAUAAAGAAGAAAAACUACCUACGAUUUCCUCUCAAAAUAAUAAUCCAGAAUCUCCCCAAACCAAGCUUAACAAAGCUAAUGACUGCUUCUCAGAACUCCAGGAAAAACAUAGAAGAAAAUCGUAGCAUUGGGAGACCAGAAAAUAGAACUUUGUUAGAGGACAGUAGUUCUGAUAGUGAACAUGAAGAUGUGGUUGAAACCCUCCCAGAGUGGCCAGUCCGAGUCCAGGGCAUCUCUCCUGCUGCCUUUCCAUCACCUGAGCCUCUUCUAAAACCUCCCCUCAAGUCUUCAGCAGUCCAUGGUGCUACGAAGUGAAAAGCACUGUUGGAAACAAGUAAAUGGGAAACAUCCUGGACUCCAGCCCUCCAGUUAAGACAUCUACUCAGUCAUUGAUCUGAGGAUUUUCUACCUUCUUGCCAGAACAACAAAGCCAGCAAUUUUUAAAAAAGACACUAGCGUUUGUAUUACUGAAAGUGCUCCAAGAGUAGGAAUGAAUAACGACAAUAUGACUUUUGUUGGUGGAGCAAAAAAACUGAUAGAAGUGCAGAACUAAUCUUAAAAAUGAAAUCAGAGGAAGAACAAGAGAGGCUUGAUGGAAGUGAAAACAACCAACCAACCACAGGUAUGUAAAAGUUUAAAUUUCUGGUAUAAUUUUCUUUUGUUGCUUUAAUAACUAGCAUAGACCAAAUGAAAUUAGAUUUGGACACAAUUGUAUAAAAUCUGUAGA
This is a long non-coding RNA of Choloepus didactylus (southern two-toed sloth), 881 nucleotides long. RefSeq lists it as uncharacterized. NCBI's taxonomy places the organism in Eukaryota, Metazoa, Chordata, Mammalia, Pilosa, Megalonychidae. The transcript has 7 exons. The record is from RefSeq and is a predicted model, not a curated record.